Molecule: ribosomal RNA, 199 nt
Filed under: uncultured bacterium
Lineage: Bacteria
Description: partial 16S ribosomal RNA
Rfam family: Bacterial small subunit ribosomal RNA
Source: RNAcentral
ACGCUCGACACCUACGGGAGGAGCAGUGGGGAAUAUUGGGCAAUGGGCGCAAGCCUGACCCAGCAACGCCGCGUGAAGGAUGAAGGCUUUCGGGUUGUAAACUUCUUUUAUUCGGGACGAAGAAAAUGACGGUACCGAAUGAAUAAGCCACGGCUAACUACGUGCAGCAGCCGCGGUAAUCUGAGCGGGCUGGCAAGGC